GGGCAAUGGGCGCAAGCCUGAAGCAGCAACGCCGCGUGUGCGAUGAAGGCCUUCGGGUUGUAAAGCACUUUUAGCUGGGAAGAGGAAGGACGGUACCAGCUGAAUAAGCCUCGGCUAACUACGUGCCAGCAGCCGCGGUAAAACGUAGGAGGCGAGCGUUAUCCGGAUUUACUGGGUGUAAAGCGCGUGCAGGCGGUUUGGUAAGUUGGGUGUGAAAGCUCCUGGCUCAACUGGGAGAGGUCGCUCAAGACUGCCAGACUUGAGAGUGGUAGGGGAAGGUGGAAUUCCGGGUGUAGUGGUGAAAUGCGUAGAUAUCCGGAGGAACACCAGUGGCGAAGGCGGCCUUCUGGGCCACAUCUGACGCUCAGACGCGAAAGCUAGGGUAGCAAACGGGAUUAGAGACCCCGGUAGUCCUAGCCGUAAACGAUGUGAACUUGGCGCUGGGGCGGUAAAACGGUUCAGUGCCGAAGCAAACGCGAUAAGUUCACCACCUGGGGACUACGGCCGCAAGGUUA
RNAcentral lists this ribosomal RNA (515 nucleotides) under uncultured Chloroflexota bacterium. RNAcentral's name for it is "bacterial SSU rRNA". It matches the Rfam family "Bacterial small subunit ribosomal RNA", at positions 366 to 896 of the family's 1533-position model. The record is from RNAcentral. Lineage: Bacteria; Bacillati; Chloroflexota.